AACGAACGCUGGCGGCAUGCCUAACACAUGCAAGUCGAACGAGACCUUCGGGUCUAGUGGCGCACGGGUGCGUAACGCGUGGGAACCUGCCCUUAGGUUCGGAAUAACUCCCCGAAAGGGGUGCUAAUACCGGAUAAUGUCUUCGGACCAAAGAUUUAUCGCCUUUGGAUGGGCCCGCGUUGGAUUAGCUAGUUGGUAGGGUAAAAGCCUACCAAGGCGACGAUCCAUAGCUGGUCUGAGAGGAUGAUCAGCCACACUGGGACUGAGACACGGCCCAGACUCCUACGGGAGGCAGCAGUGGGGAAUAUUGGACAAUGGGCGAAAGCCUGAUCCAGCAAUGCCGCGGGAGUGAUGAAGGCCUUAGGGUUGUAAAGCUCUUUUACCCGGGAUGAUAAUGACAGUACCGGAGAAUAAGCUCCGGCUAACUCCGUG
This 432-nucleotide ribosomal RNA is filed under the name uncultured bacterium. RNAcentral describes it as "partial 16S ribosomal RNA". It matches the Rfam family "Bacterial small subunit ribosomal RNA", at positions 29 to 507 of the family's 1533-position model. The record is from RNAcentral.